RNAcentral lists this long non-coding RNA (889 nucleotides) under Malus domestica (apple). Its description in RNAcentral is "long non-coding RNA (MDOM_LNC010786)". The record is from RNAcentral. Lineage: Eukaryota; Viridiplantae; Streptophyta; Magnoliopsida; Rosales; Rosaceae.
UUCUUCAGAAAUAUAUGCAGUAGUAGGGGGAAAAAAGAAUUCACUUCAAAACCAAAGAAUUCACUUCAUGGAAUCAUUUUUGUCUAUGUAUUAUGUCAUCUUCUUAUUGGAUAUUAGAAAUUAGUGGGUUGAUCAAGUCAAGUUCAGAUGAUGAAAUCACCCUACUAAAAUGGUGAAAAAAGGGACAAAAUCGAUUUACUUCUAGUUUCCAUGAUAUGAAAAGUUAGAGAAGGUGGGUUCUUAUUUUUUUUUUCUAGAUAAAUCUAAUGGUGUAUAUUAUUUAGGAGAAAAUUUUAUUAUGAAAACUUGAAAUACAAAACAUGACAAUAUUGUACUUAAUGCUUAUCAAGUGAAAUAUUUUGAGUAGAUGGUAGUGUCAAUCACCAUUGUUCAAUGACAAGUAAAGCCUAUAAAUAUUUGUUUUUUGGGCUUUAGUCUUCCAUUAUUUGGAUUGGGCUGUUGAAGGGUUUUUUUUGUCCUUAUGGUUAGAAAAAUGUUCAUUGAGUGCUUUUGAUUAAGAUCUUGUUUUGUGAGGGGAUUUUUCUUAAUUCGAAUUUCAACUUCUUCAAAUGCAGUUAUUCUAAUUCCGAACCGACCAACUCCCACCACCUGGCCUUGAACUCCAUGGGGUGUAACAUUAAAAACUUGUUUCUUUUGCUAUCAUCUAUCUCAAACACAUAAAUUUCUUUGCUCACUUCUGCUUGAAGCUUCUUUAAAUGCACCAAGUCGCCAGCAAAAAUAAUUUUGAGCCGAAGACACCACAACCCAUCUCGAAUUGAAGAUGCUUGACCUCCACGGAAAUGAAAUUUUGCAACUCUACAUUGUUAUUUGGAUUUGGAUAACAAAUCGCUCUAUCUGAGGGCACAAAUAAUGUAUCCACAAAAGAGUA